This is a long non-coding RNA of Cephus cinctus (wheat stem sawfly), 2195 nucleotides long. RefSeq lists it as uncharacterized. The record is from RefSeq and is a predicted model, not a curated record. Lineage: Eukaryota; Metazoa; Arthropoda; Insecta; Hymenoptera; Cephidae. The transcript is spliced from 4 exons.
UUGGGUUGUUCGUUGGCUAGAACGGAUAGAGAUGCAUUCGCUAGGAAGAGUACGGAUUGUCGUGUAUAUCAAAGCGUCGUUCUGAGCUAAACUGUUAAGUAUCCCGUAACCAAUGUACUACGUGAAACGCUAUGCUGUUAUCCCAGAUGACGAUACUAUGACCGAGUGAGAAGAGGAAACUUCGACUUCAGCUUGUAAUACUAGCAAUGAGCAGAUACAGAAUAACGAGGUCAACCGUGGUUGGAGAAUCAAUAGGAAACAAUAGUUUCCCUGGGAGUUCAGUACCAUUUAAAAUGGCUGACGGUACGAAGAGGGUGGAUAUACACACACAGAAAAGAUUCCACCACCACCAUUAAGGUUCCAGAUAUAAUAAAUGUCAAAUGAGCUCAUUAAUAUCAAAUUGAGAUACGGUUGGAAACAUUGCAUAUGCAACGCAGUAGCAUAAUGAGAAACAGGAUAUCCGAUCUCAAGUGUCAGGACCAUAGAUGAAAGUUUGACCAUGAAUGGAAUUAAUGGAUCCUAGUACGAGGCGUCGUCAUGUUGCAACACGCUGUAGAUAUAAUAAGCGAAGGUUCACUAACCUUACCAAUUUGUUAUUCUGGUAUUGUAACUGUUGUGCCCCGUGGGAACCUAGAUGAGAACCUUAAUUAAUGAUACGCCGAAAAGGGGAGAAAUCGGUGCGUUUGGUUCUCUCUCUUGGUGCGGAUGUAGGUCGGAUGGUGAGGUCUUAUCCGUUCUUCUAUUCCGGAAGACGUGGACGUGUGGAUUCAUGGGAGCCACCAGGGGUGAAUGGUUCAUGAGAGCGAUGGAUGCGAAAUAUUGUUGGGGUGCGUGUGGACCUCUGCGGUCUGGUUGAUGUCGGAAGAGACCUUUGCGAGAUGGUCUGCGGCCACUUUCGAAUUCCGUGGGUGCAGGACUGGGCCUUCGACUGAGGUCAGGUCAAGGCAUUCGAUAAUUUGUUCCCAAGGCCAGGUAGGCUAAAACUUCGUCAUAUCCGGUGGUAAAGAUUCUGAGCUCGCAUAUCGACAUCCUUGAUUACCAUCGAAUACGAAGUAUUAUACAUUUCGUGUAUUUCUAAUAGGAGAAUUAAUUAUAUAAUAUUAUGUACAUUGUAUAGGAAUAACCAGGUGCUCUUCGACUGAUUUGCUACUAAGAGUGUAGCAGAUAGCAGAAAAGGCUUUUUGAUGUCAGAAAUCAAUUUUCUCUGAAGCUCACAAAAAACUCGCAAUAUGGACGCCUUUGAUAAAUAACCGUGGUCUGUGAAGGAAUCGUGAGCCAUUACUCGCCGGAAGUGGUACGCCACUUUUCGGACCCUUUAACUGGAAGGAGUCCAACCCCCGUCACCCGACACUCUGCACCAAGUUCCCCUAUCAUUUCUUUCAGAAAUUAGCUUAUUUGUCCAACAACAAUAACACACAUUGUGAUAUACAAGAUUAUUCACGGCAAAUGCACCAGCUGAAGUUGACAUCAAAUGGGUGAUUUCAUCAAUCAGAACAGUGUGACGUCAUUAAAGAAAUGGAAGUUAUCAUCAUAUUACUAACAUCAUGGGCUUCAGAAUCUUUCAUUUGCUUAACAAGGACACACUGCUUCGAUAGAAUCGCGUCCAACUUCAGCUGGUACGUUUGCCGUGAAUAACCCUGUAUAUAAAAAAUCAAUGCAAAAUUUCAUUAUGCACACGACAGUGUAGAAAAAUAAUAUUGUUUAUAUUCAUAUUUUGUUUGAGAUGAUAUUCAAAGAUAAAGUUAAAGGUAGUUUUAUAGUAUUUGAUAAUCUUAUCUAUUUUUUAGUGUUGCGCUAAUUUUCAUGAUUUCAUGGUAAUCCGUGAUGUGGUACAUACUUACAGAUAUAUUUCAUCCCCUAUACACCACUUUUUCAAGUAUACUCCUAAAAGUCACCCUCCUAUUAUUAUUAUGAGAGAUUAUAAUGAUCUUGCCAAGUAUCUAGUUACUGCACGGUGGUUAGCCACUCUAUUCAGGAUAAAACGCCUGUAUUCGAAAUUACCCCUAUAUUUUCAAGCGUUCUCCAAGUGCACAUUUUGGCGUUUGCUACAUAACGAAAGUUUUUAAAACAUUGCUGUUACAUAUGACACUUGAUUUUCUCAACUUUUCUUUGUAAGAGGAUAUAAAAGUUUUCGAAGUAAGAAAAUUAAAUUCGAAAAAUUGUAUAACAAUCAAAAAAAUAAUUUUUAUUCUUUU